ACGGGUGAGUAACACGUAGGAACUUGUCUUUUAGAGGGGGACAACCAAGGGAAACUUUGGCUAAUACCGCAUAUUCUCGAGAGAGGAAAGUUGCCCGCAAGGGUGAUACUAAAAGAGGGGCCUGCGUCCGAUUAGCUAGUUGGUGAGGUAAAAGCUCACCAAGGCGAUGAUCGGUAACUGGUCUGAGAGGACGACCAGUCACACUGGGACUGAGACACGGCCCAGACUCCUACGGGAGGCAGCAGUGGGGAAUCUUGGACAAUGGGGGCAACCCUGAUCCAGCGAUGCCGCGUGGGUGAAGAAGGCCUUCGGGUUGUAAAGCCCUUUAGGUUGGGAAAAAGUGUAUAGGAAGAUAAUGCCUAUACAUUGAUGGUACUAACAGAAUAAGCACCGGCAAACUCUGUGCCAGCAGCCGCGGUAAUACAGAGGGUGCGAGCGUUAAUCGGAGUUACUGGGCGUAAAGGGCGCGUAGGCGGUUAUAUGGGUGUGAUGUGAAAGCCCCGGGCUUAACCUGGGAAGUGCAUCGCAAACUGUAUGACUGGAGUAUAAGAGAGGGUGUCGGAAUUUCCGGUGUAGC
Molecule: ribosomal RNA, 577 nt
Filed under: uncultured bacterium
Lineage: Bacteria
Description: bacterial SSU rRNA
Rfam family: Bacterial small subunit ribosomal RNA
Source: RNAcentral